GAUGAACGCUAGCUACAGGCUUAACACAUGCAAGUCGAGGGGUAACGAGAGGAAAGCUUGCUUUCCUUGUCGACGACCGGCGCACGGGUGAGUAACGCGUAUCCAACCUGCCCCCAACUAGGGAAUAACCUUGCGAAAGUAAGACUAAUACCCUAUAAUUUCCUCAGAUGACAUCUGACGAGGAAUAAAGAUUUAUCGGUUGUGGAUGGGGAUGCGUCUGAUUAGCUUGUUGGCGGGGUAACGGCCCACCAAGGCAACGAUCAGUAGGGGUUCUGAGAGGAAGGUCCCCCACAUUGGAACUGAGACACGGUCCAAACUCCUACGGGAGGCAGCAGUGAGGAAUAUUGGUCAAUGGGCGGAAGCCUGAACCAGCCAAGUAGCGUGCAGGAUGACGGCCCUAUGGGUUGUAAACUGCUUUUAUACAGGAAUAAAGUUAGCCACGUGUGGUUAUUUGUAGGUACUGUAUGAAUAAGGACCGGCUAAUUCCGUGCCAGCCGCCGCGGUAA
Molecule: ribosomal RNA, 506 nt
Filed under: uncultured bacterium
Lineage: Bacteria
Description: partial 16S ribosomal RNA
Rfam family: Bacterial small subunit ribosomal RNA
Source: RNAcentral